UACGGAGGGUGCAAGCGUUGCUCGGAAUCAUUGGGCGUAAAGCGUACGCAGGCUGUUCGUUAAGUCGGGUGUGAAAGCCCGGGGCUCAACCCCGGAACUGCGCCCGGAACUGGCGGGCUUGAGUGCGGGAGAGGGAAGCGGAAUUCCUGGUGUAGCGGUGAAAUGCGUAGAUAUCUGGAGGAACACCGGUGGCGAAGGCGGCAUCCUGGACCGACACUGACGCUGAGGAGCGAAAGCCAGGGGAGCAAACGGG
Molecule: ribosomal RNA, 253 nt
Filed under: uncultured bacterium
Lineage: Bacteria
Description: partial 16S ribosomal RNA
Rfam family: Bacterial small subunit ribosomal RNA
Source: RNAcentral